Molecule: long non-coding RNA, 311 nt
Organism: Rana temporaria (common frog)
Lineage: Eukaryota; Metazoa; Chordata; Amphibia; Anura; Ranidae
Exons: 3
Source: RefSeq, a predicted model, not a curated record
GUAACGUUUUAGACAGGAAGUUCUGGAUGAGAGGGGAGUUUCCAGGAAGUUGAGAGGAGACAUUGUUGAAACUGGCAGCAGAGGAGCCCCUUCACCUCACUGCCUGACAACAGAAGUAACCAGCGCCAAGAAGAUUCUAGACGUCACCUACAAGAUCACUGAGCUGCUGACAGGAGAGGUUCCUAUAAGGUUGUCCAGAUAUCGUUUUUUCUUCCAAGGAGGAGUGGGAGUAUUUAGAAGGAUCCCUACAAAGACGUCAUGAUGGAGAAUCGUUCAUCACUCACAUCACCAGGUAAGAGGAGACUUUAUUG